UACGUAGGGUGCAAGCGUUAAUCGGAAUUACUGGGCGUAAAGCGUGCGCAGGCGGUUUUGUAAGUCUGUCGUGAAAUCCCCGGGCUCAACCUGGGAAUUGCGAUGGAGACUGCAAGGCUAGAAUCUGGCAGAGGGGGGUAGAAUUCCACGUGUAGCAGUGAAAUGCGUAGAGAUGUGGAGGAACACCGAUGGCGAAGGCAGCCCCCUGGGUCAAAACUGACGCUCAUGCACGAAAGCGUGGGGAGCAAACAGG
Molecule: ribosomal RNA, 253 nt
Filed under: uncultured bacterium
Lineage: Bacteria
Description: partial 16S ribosomal RNA
Rfam family: Bacterial small subunit ribosomal RNA
Source: RNAcentral